RNAcentral lists this ribosomal RNA (327 nucleotides) under uncultured eukaryote. RNAcentral describes it as "partial 18S ribosomal RNA". It matches the Rfam family "Eukaryotic small subunit ribosomal RNA", at positions 1470 to 1796 of the family's 1831-position model. The record is from RNAcentral.
CCCUUAGAUGUUCUGGGCCGCACGCGCGCUACACUGACGAAUGCAACGAGCUUAUAACCUUGGCCGAAAGGUCUGGGUAAUCUCCAAAUUUCGUCGUGAUGGGGAUAGAUUAUUGCAAUUAUUAAUCUUCAACGAGGAAUGCCUAGUAAGCGCAAGUCAUCAGCUUGCGUUGAUUACGUCCCUGCCCUUUGUACACACCGCCCGUCGCUCCUACCGAUUGAAUGGUCCGGUGAAGCGCUCGAACCGCGGCCUCUUGACGGUUCGCUGUCGAUUGGCUGUGGGAAGUUCGUUAAACCUUAUCAUUUAGAGGAAGGAGAAGUCGUAACA